Molecule: ribosomal RNA, 552 nt
Filed under: uncultured bacterium
Lineage: Bacteria
Description: bacterial SSU rRNA
Rfam family: Bacterial small subunit ribosomal RNA
Source: RNAcentral
AAUAGAUACCCGGGUAGUCCACGCCGUAAACGAUGGAUGCUAGCUAUUAGGGGGAAUCGACCCCCUCCGAAGCGAAGCUAACGCGUUAAGCAUCCCGCCUGAGUAGUACGAGCGCAAGCUUAAAACUCAAAGGAAUUGACGGGGACCCGCACAAGCGGUGGAGCGUGUGGUUUAAUUCGAUGGUAAACGAAGAACCUUACCAAGGUUUGGCAUCCCGAUAGCCGUUCUCCGAAAGGAGGAUUUCAUUUAGUUGGACCGGUGACAGGUGAUGCAUGGCCGUCGUCAGCUCGUGUCGUGAGAUGUUGGGUUAAGUCCCGCAACGAGCGCAACCCUUAUGAUUUAGUUGGAUUUUUCUAAACAGACUGCCCUGGUAACAGGGAGGAAGGAGGGGAUGAUGUCAGGUCAGUAUUCCCUUACACCUUGGGGCGACACACGCGCUACAAUGGCCGGUACAAUGGGCAGCUAAGCCGCGAGGUGGAGCAAAUCCCAUCAAAGCCGGUCCAGUUCGGAUUGCAGGCUGAAACCGCUGCAUGAAGCCGGAAUCGCUAGUAA